Molecule: ribosomal RNA, 260 nt
Filed under: uncultured bacterium
Lineage: Bacteria
Description: partial 16S ribosomal RNA
Rfam family: Bacterial small subunit ribosomal RNA
Source: RNAcentral
CUAGCCUACGGGACGCAGCAGUAGGGAAUCUUCCACAAUGGGCGAAAGCCUGAUGGAGCAACGCCGCGUGGGUGAAGAAGGUCUUCGGAUCGUAAAACCCUGUUGUUAGAGAAGAAAGUGCGUGAGAGUAACUGUUCACGUUUCGACGGUAUCUAAUCAGAAAGCCACGGCUAACUACGUGCCAGCAGCCGCGGUAAUACGUAGGUGGCAAGCGUUAUCCGGAUUUAUUGGGCGUAAAGGGAACGCAGCGGGCCUUUUAA